GUGAUAAUCAAUGGUACCAGCGGAAUCAAUGUUGAAUUUGGAAUCGAGACCUCUCUUCUUCACAAUAUCUCUAAAGACACCUUCAGCUGCUGGACUCCGACAGAUGUUCCCGAGACAGACGAAAAGAACAGAGUAAGGUUUGGUCUCGCUGCUCUGUUCCGGAGUCGUCGUCUCCAUAGAAGAUGAUGCAAAGCACUUACGGGAAUGAGAAAUUCUGGGUUUUGUGGCAGAGAGGGGUACAAUUGGGAAUACAAAUAAACGUUCCUACUUGCUUUAUUAUCAAGUCCGGUGAAUCAAGUGCUAGAGAUUUUAAUCAACAAUGCAAAGAAAAUAGUUGCAGGUCAAAGGCACUUUUUGGAGUCAUCUUGAACCUGUGAAGGUAUUAUAUACUAUGAGUAUGAGUCCUCUUCCGACGGAGAUAUGAAAGUGGCUAUGCAACAAUUUCUUGUUUCUUACGUCUCUUAUGAACACCACUCUCGAGUCUUGACUUUAUUGGCUAUAUCAUAUAUACAUAUGGAUGUGAAAUACAAGUUCUGUAAAGUUGCUACUAGAACUUCCAUGAUUUGUUUGUUUCUGUCCUAAUGUUGCGCUGUAGCUUCUUUGACAAGUUAGGUCUCAUGUGUUCACAAUACUUUGUUGAUUGUUAAUGAAAAAUGAGUUACUUAUUAUAUAUUAAGCGUAUAGGUAGGACUGUACAGUUGUAUACGAAUAUUACACAGAUUAAAACAGAGUGGUCUUUUAAAGUUUCUGAGGGAUACAAUAAUACGUGUACGUUGUUUUGAAUGUUCUAAGUUAUAAAUUAUACUUGUAUUUUCUUUUAGGGUACGUAGUUUCAUCACCAAGGUGCAAGGUCUGUCUUAUCUCUAGUAACCUUAACGUCUCACUCUCAUCUUUUUUUGCCCACUGCCUUUAAAGAAAACAUGCUGGUUUCUUGCUUCUUAGGUCACUUAUAGAAUCACUCUUGACGUUUCUGUUUAUCAAGACCAUAUACGGAUAAUGGAUGUGAAUACGAGUUUGCUAAGACAAAUCUUUACUUAAAGCAUAUCAUCAAAAGUACUUCGGUUCUUCCCUGUUUUGAUUAGCAUUCACAUUGUUUUUUCAAAAGGUAAGUUUAUUAAUGUUUUGGGCUACGAUAUGUGAACUUUCAUGAUUUGUUUGUUUCAGUUCUUAUGUUGUGUUGUAGUUUCUAGUGACAAGUUAGGUCUCAUGUGUUCAGUUUGUUGAUUGAGAAAAUGACAAAUGAGUUACUUACUUAUGGUAGGAUUAUAUUAUACAGUUGUAUAGAAUCAGAAUGUUACAAAGAAUUAAAACAGAACAGUCUCUUAAAGUUUCUGAAGAAGAAAGAAAAAUAUUUGAACCGAGUUUUGCAAUUAUGCAAUUGCAAAAUAUAAUAGCCCAUUUUCAAAAAGAUUCGACAACCUCUAUUCUCAAUUCAUAAUUAUGUAAAGAUUUGUUUUGAUCGUUUUCUUUUUUUGCUAAGAUCCUUAAUAUCAAUAGAAAUGAACUUAAAAGGUCUUACAAAAGCUUUACCUAGAGUAAAGUAUUACAAUAAAGGUGUCACUGAAUCCAUCGGAGCAUUAGAUGCCUUUAAGCAGUGUUGGUGUUGCACACCUCACGGUCUAUGAUUUCUUUGUUGCAUGUAGUUUGGUCUCUGUUGUAUUAUACUGUGUCCUUCUCACUUGGUUAUAGUCUCAUAUGGCAUGAGACGUAUGUAUUGGCAACAAGUUUAGUGUUAUGUUGCUAAAAUGUUUAAACUCCAAGAAAAGCUUCUCUUGUCCUUUUUAGUUUGAAGUUUAUUAUUACUCUUUCGAUUUCAGAAAAGAUCAACAAAAAAAAUCUUUGGAUGUUGGUUUUAUAUAUAGCGUAAACAAAAAUUGCAGGUAUGUGGUUUGGUCUCGUUGUGUUAUUCAAAAAGAUUUUGCUUGUUGCAGGGAAACUUACUGUUCCUUGCUUUGUAAUUCCAAUAAUCAGAAUCAUAUCAAUCGUGUUUAUCAAAGUAAACACCAACAAGAUUUAAGCUUCAUAUUAUCCUAAUCUCUCACUAUUGGCAUUCACUGAUGAUGUCUAAAAUAUAAUAAUAGAAUUUGCAAUUUUAUGUCCAACAAAAUGAGACUUGUAACUUACGUAUAUCAUCAUCAACUUUUCCACAGUGAUACUAUCCAGCAAAGACUCACAUAGUCACAUGCAUCUUUAAGCAAGUCCAGUACCUGUCAGCUACCCAUAGUGACUUAUUGACCUACAAUUAUCUGCAACUAAAUGAGCUCUAAAAUGAUGCUUAUUGAGUUAACCAGAGGAGCAACUAUAUAUCUAAAACCAUUCAAAAAGAGAUAUAAUAAUUCUUUAAUAGUUAUUACCUUUUUAAAACCAUGAACUCCACCCUAAUUUUACAGGUUUGGAUCGUGUUUGUUGUACAUUAGCUUACCCUGAAAAUGCAAUGAAAGCAUUUGUAAAAUCUCCAAAAAGAAACUCCAAAGACCAGCAAACAACAACAACAAUUAAACACCAAUGAUGACCUUCGUAUCGAAAUUCAUUAAUAAAGAAUAUUAGCUUCAUCUCAACUUGCAAAAUCCUUGAAUAAUUACUCUUAAUUUCUUCUACCUUUGUUUUUCUCAUCCAUUGCAAUAAUGACGUUAUCUCUAAUUUCGAUGACCUUUAUCUGCAAUUAGUUUCAAUUAAAGAUAACAAUACAGAGUCUUAUAUAAAUGUAAAACUGGCAUAAAAGUUUCUAACCUCCUCCAUCGAUGCCCAUCUCUGAUCGAAGCUCUCAUCAUCUUCGUUAUUAACACUAAGGAGCCUCCAAGAUUUGAUAUACCCCGCAUUCUCCGAUCUUCCAGUUGUCAUAUGUUUUGGUUGUGAACUCAAAGAUAAGCUCGGUGGAAGUCACAUCCUCUGCUUCAACUUCAAAUGUGUAGAGAUGCUCUGUUAAAAGUGGACCUAUAAAAAGAUCUCUAAGUGUACGCCGAACUUUGAGAUCGUUAUGUUUGUCUAUGAUGUCUAUUUUUACAAACAUCGAAUCAUGAUCAUCAACUGUUUCUUCAUUAAUAUUAACCAGCAUGAUGCAACCCUUCAAUCUUAAAGAUUUAGGAAGAGGCGACUCAUUUAACUUGAUUGUCAAGGAACCCCCAACAGUAGCUCGGUGAUUGAAGCAAGCAGGCACUUGUGUACCGGGUAAGAUCGCAUAUAUAGAAGUCCAUGUGUGCAUGAUGAGGUCUCUGGCUUCUUGAUUCAGUUUGAAGCAGUUGCUAAACUUCAGACAGAUCUUCGGAUUGUUAAAGGAACAAUCCAGUCUCUCAAGGGAUUGACAAUUGUCUGCAUCUAUGUCAUAAAUAAGGAAUCUGAAAGUUGCGGGAGUGAUACCAGAUUCUUACACUCGUUAAGUCUAAGUUUCUGUAAACCAGACAUCCCCUUGAUCCAUGCAGGAACUUCUUGUAUAUCUUCGCUUACCAAAUGCAACUUCGUGAUGAUGUCAAAAACAUGCGGGGAUUCACUAAGGCUUUCGAAGUAUGAAAUCUGAAUCUCAGAAAGACGAGACCACAACGUGAUCGACAAAGGAACUUCUUUUAUUGCAGUUCCUAUAAGCUUGAGAACCUUUAUGUUUGUCGAGAUCUCAGGAAAAGUUUUCAACUGCGAGCAAUUAGUGAGAUCAAGUAUAUAGAGAGAUUUCAAGUUGAUGUUGGUUGGAAGAGCCUCGAGCUUUGAGCAUCCGCACAUCUGUAACGUCCACAAUUUUUGAAGGUUUCCUAUAGAGGAAGGAAGCUCUACCAGACUUGAGCAGUUAGAUAGUUUAAGCUCACUGAGAUUAGUGAGAUCUCCAAUAAAGGACGGGAGUUUCACCAGACUUGAGCUUCCACUAAUAUCUAAUACCUGAAGAUUUGUGGCUGAUCUAAUAGAAGAAGGCAGCUCUAGUAGCCUUGAGCAAUUAUUGAGCUCCAUUAUGGAAAGAUGAGUGGCAUUCUCAAUAGCGGGGAGCUCCUCGACAAGCGAACAAUUUCUUAGAUACAAAUGCUUGAGAUCAGUGGCAUUGAUAGAGGAUGGGAGCUUCACAAGACUUGAACAGUUAUUAAGACUCAGUCGCUUAAGUUUGGUUUCCAUUCCAAUAGAGGGAAGCUCCACAAGAUUGAAGCAAUCAGAGAGAUCUAGUCUCUUGAGAUUGGUUGCAUUCUCAAUUGAAGAAGGGAUUUUCACCAGACUUGAGCACCCUUUGAGAUCUAAAUUUUUGAGACUGGUGAGUUUUUCCAAUAGAGAAGGGGAGCUCCACUAAACUUGAGCAAAUUCCGAGAAUUAAUUCUUUGAGAUUUGUGGCGGUUGACAUAUCUAGAAGCUCUUUCAAAUCUCUAGAACCACUCAAAUCCAUCCACUUGAGAUUUCUAAGUUGCUGCACAGAAAAAAUAAGAAAAUGAAAUUAUAUAUCAGUUUGGUUUAUAAAAGAGUGGUUAGACUUGUAGUUUUUUUUUUUUUAAUCUUUAAAUAUAUUAUAACGUGAUACAUUACUCUAUUUUUUAAUUGGUUAAGACAAUGUGGCGUGGACCUAAGUAUUGUCUGUUUUUUUUAUGAAAACAAAUUAUAAAAAUAAAUAUUGGAAGUUUUCAUCAGAUUACUUACUUUAGUUCCUUCCCACAACUUUUGAAGUUUGCCGUGGCGCAUAACUAGUUGGACGAGAAACUCAGGAUUAAAAGUUGAAGGCAAACAUAUAUUCUGGAAACAUGUCCAAUCCAGUAAUCUAAUCUUUUGCGAAUAAUAAAGCAGUGAUUCCAGUCUCUCAAGAUUACCAAUGAUUCUUACGAAUUGGAGAUUAGACAUUCUUUCAAGUGCAUUUUCACUUAUACUCAAUUCUUCCUCAGUCUUAGAUACUUCCAAAUUUAUACCUAUAAAACGACUACUAUCCUGACAAAAAAAAGAGACAAAAAAAAUAUAAGUAGAGAUGGUUAGUUAACCAAUAACUCAGUGUAGUGGGAAAACUUACUAUUGAAUUGUCACUUAGAAGUUCACAUACAUCUCUUUCACCAACCAAAAGCUGACGUCUCGGAGUGCCAUGCAUGAAUCGCUUACGAGAAGUUUCUCUUCCGAAAUGUACUAACAGAGUAUGCAUAUAUAUCCGAUUAUAAUUAAUAGAUAUGAGAGAUUUCUGAGCUAAGACAUGAAGACCUUGGCACACAUUGAAGAACUUAUUUGCAAGAACCUCUUCCAAUUUCUGAAUUCUUGGAAACUCUAAAGGUGUCUUGCCCUUGAGCACGGUCUGUGAGAAAAUGCAUGCUAAAUAAAGAAAUAGAUCUUUAUCUUCAUCACACAAGGCAUCAUAGCUAAACUUUACAAUGCUCUUUAUUUCCCCCAUCAAGACGAGUUUUUAACCUUGGUAGUGUCCUUUUCCACUCUUGCUUGGACAUUCCACGGAGAGCGGAGCCUAGAACCUUCAAUCCCAAAGGGAGUUCACCAGCAAGGUAUGAAACUUUCCUAGCAAGCUCAUAAAAACCAUUAUCUGGGUGCUUUUUUCCAAAGGCAUGCAUACAAAAUAUUUGAAAAGCCUCGUCACUUGAUGGAAAACACACUUUGUAAAUAUGAUUGAUCCCAUGCGCUUUAAGAACACUUAUAUCUUCUGUUGUGAUAACUAUCCGACUUCCAGGACCAAACCAUUGAGUUUCUUUCGCCAAGGCAUCUAGUUGUCCUAAUUGAUCCACUUCAUCAAGAACGAGAAACACUUUCUUGUCUUUCAACCGUUCUUGGGCCACUCCUAGAUGAGAAAUAUUGAUGUCUUUAUGAUUGAUCAUCUGAGACAACAUUUGGUUUUAUAGUUGUAAUUGUGCACUAUAUUCAUCCAAGCAAGGUCUUGGAUAGAAUCCUCUGAUAUUGACCAUGAUUGCGUCAUGUUGGAAUCUGCUGAAGACUUGGUUAAACAGAACUCUGGCGAUUGUGGUCUUACCAAUCCCUGGUGGUCCCCAAAUCCCAAUCAUCCUUACUUCAUCCAAAUUUANNNNNNNNNNNNNNNNNNNNNNNNNNNNNNNNNNNNNNNNNNNNNNNNNNNNNNNNNNNNNNNNNNNNNNNNNNNNNNNNNNNNNNNNNNNNNNNNNNNNGAUGGUAUGGAGCUAUUCAACAUGUUUGAAACAUCAGUGGCUAUUUUUUCGAUCAUGGCUGCUUCAUUGCUCCUACAUUAGAGGAUAUCAACGUGCAACUGUUAAUUAGACUAGUCAUGAAAAAUUUUCAUACAAACACAUCCAAAACUAAUGUUUUUUCUCGCCUUAAUAUAUUUUAAAAGCUACUAAUAAAUAUAGUUUGAUGACUAAGUAAAUUAUUACUUAAAAGAAACUAAAAUUCAAGAGGGCAAACCAGCUGCUAGAAUGCUCUCCAGCGAUCUUGGCCACAUCCUCCAAAGCUCUUCUCCAUAUCUCAAUAUGCUCUUUUGUUUUACCUUUACAAGUUUUAUUANNNNNNNNNNNNNNNNNNNNNNNNNNNNNNNNNNNNNNNNNNNNNNNNNNNNNNNNNNNNNNNNNNNNNNNNNNNNNNNNNNNNNNNNNNNNNNNNNNNNAAUUCCCUUUCUUCUAAACGAUUCCAAGAUGUGAGUAAGAAUGGUUCUUCGGACAUCUGCCCCGUGGAAGCUCGGGAAGACGUUGUGUUUCCAGUUUCUCUACCUUUUGUCGAAUUAUUGCCAUAGCGCGGACCCAUGGAGGAAGAAAGUGACUCCCAACAUCGUUUUGUCGUUUUAAAAAGCAUGGUUGUUUAGGCUAAACGGAAUCAGCACACAAACAGUUAACCCCGUCUUCGAGAUUUUAACAUAGAUUAAACGUCGUGCUUAAAUCAGCAAAGUCAACGAAACUUAGCUAUUUUACAGAAAAGUCAACAUAAAUUUAGUGAUUAAAAUGAUUUCUCGAUAGAUUGGGAUUAAAUCAUCCCAAAUUUGAAAGUUCCGUAUUUUUUUGACAUUUUUCCCUAUUAUCUAUGGAGGAUAUUUAUUAAUAGUGAUAGAAAAUGUUGCUUGACUUUGGAACUCUUUUUGGGAGAUUUUGGAAUAUUUUCAGGUUAAAAUUUGUUCAAAGGUUUUUAAGAACGAAGGAUAGUCACAAAGGAACAGAGUCUAGUCUAUACAAUAUAUGUAAGUCGAACAUAACCAAAAUUCAUCAAUGCAAAUUCCAAAACCUAACUUUAUUAUAAUUUAAUAUAAGAAUUUAUACAUCGAAAUUAUUUGAACCAAAUUACAAAAUUCUUCAAGCUCGUCCCCUGUUUUUCUCUCUUUUUUUUUUUAAAUUAGGAUACAUAAUAAAAUUACAGAUUUUAACUUUUUAUUUUUGGAAUAAAAGAGUAUCAACACUUUGUAGUUUGUAUAUGCUGUAUGAGUUUGUAGUACAACACCCACCGCUCGUCCAUUAGCUUUUUCCAACGGUAGGACUGCGAAAUCUGUCUUUUGCAAACUCACAAUAACUCAUAGUAAAAUAUUGUAUAAUGUCUCUCAUUUGAAAGCACUGUUUUCUUAAACAUCAAAACUGUUACUCAGCAGCCAAGUAAGGCUAGUUGAUUCUGCAGAUUAAUAUUAUCAUUAAGGAAUACAGAGUAAGUAAAGUAUAAAUCAAUUUCAUCAAAUGUACUUCGUUUCUUCCCUGUUUUGAUUAGCAUUCAUAUUUAUUUUUUCAAAAUGUAUAGUUUGUUUAUGUUUUGGACUACGAUAUGUGAACUUUCAUCAUUUGGUUGUUUCAGUUCUUAUGUUGCUUUGUAAUUCGAGCCAAGUAAGGCUAGUUGAAUCUGCAGAUUAAUAUUAUCAUUAAGCAAUACAGAGUAAGUGAAGGAUAAAAUAAAACAGAGCAAGCAAACACAAAACCAGAGGUUCUGACUAUCAUGUCGAUGCUUUCAGUACCUUCAGUGUUCUUCAGACCUAAAGAAAGAGCAGAAGAGAGAAAUUUUUUGUGCCAGAAUCAUAUCAUUUAACGCUACCAGCAGUGGAAAGAGCAUGACUAUAGAGGAGACUGGUGCAAUGACCAUUACCUAGCAGUACAUGCAGUGUGCCACAUUGGCUAGCUGAGUUAGGGCCUAUGUUCUUCUCGGUCAAAGACUCAGAUACAUCGAUGUUGGAGCAUAAGAAGAAGCAGAAGGAAGAGAAAACAGCGAUCGAGGAAUAGAUGGAGAAACUGAGAAGAGAUCAGGCGGAGUCGGAGUUGAGAAGCAAANNNNNNNNNNNNNNNNNNNNNNNNNNNNNNNNNNNNNNNNNNNNNNNNNNNNNNNNNNNNNNNNNNNNNNNNNNNNNNNNNNNNNNNNNNNNNNNNNNNNACCAUAUUGUUGACAUGAUACAACAUAUAUCAGUGUAUAUAUGUAAACUCCAUGUUAGCAACAGCUUGGCACUGUGCCAACCUAACCGAAAACAAUCAACUGACCUGCAAUGAAAAAACCAUAAGCAGUUAGAUAAAUAUAUCACCAAAAUCAUUCAUUCAAAUCAUCCUAGUUCCUCCCCUGCGAGUGCUUAGACUUGCCUUUUUGCUUCUUUGAGCCUCCUGUGAAUGGUAUAGUACGAAUACUAACAAGCAAAAAUGCUAAAAGCAAAAGGAAAAGCUCAAAAUUUAAGCCAUACCAUCUGAAUCACUUCAUAGAUUUUGGAGUCACAACUUUUCGAUCAAGAAUGCAUCUUCCUCGCCCCCAUAAGCUGGUUUCACAUUUUCCCCAGUCAUAGGACUAACACAUUCCCAGCCAGCAUACCAUAGAGUUCAAAUGCCAUCUGCAAAAGCAUGAAAUAGAGUAGGAAGAGUAUAAACUACACAUUUAGGAAUGCAUAGCGAAAAAAUCAGUGUAUUAUUAAAAUCAAGCAUGCUAACCAUCUGUACUAAAAUGCUAAUUUUGUAAGGAAAACAAUAUCAAUCGAUAUUUUCUCAUCAAGCACAUAUAUACAAGUUUCGCCUUAAAAAACAAAAAUUAUUAGUGUGCUUGCAAGUUAUUAGCUUCUUAGCAGAAAUACAAACAACAAAAGAAUGAAACUUUCAAUGAUAAAGUUUGACAGUAAAGCAUAAUAUUAGCACUGGCGGAAAAGCAUAAAAAGAAAACAAGAAUCACGCACAAACUAUGGAAGACUCGCACAAAGAAACAUACAUGAUGAUAAAUGUAGCAGAGACACUCCGGCAUGAAUCUCAAGUUCGCUGCUUCACCCCAAGNNNNNNNNNNNNNNNNNNNNNNNNNNNNNNNNNNNNNNNNNNNNNNNNNNNNNNNNNNNNNNNNNNNNNNNNNNNNNNNNNNNNNNNNNNNNNNNNNNNNAUAGCUUGCGCUGUUGCAUUUCCUGCUGUAUAGUUGGCAACCCACAAGUAGAGCAUACAUUAAAACAUAUUCUCGACACCAGAGUUUGCUAAAACAUUUAGCCACAAACAAAAAAAUUUUAAUUCCUGCUCAUGAAAAAUACACAGAAACUCUUAGUUACUUUUGAAUAUAAUAUUUUUUCGAGUCAGUUCCUAAAAUUUCUGUUUAUGAUCAUAUUCUAAGCUACUCCUGCAGAAACUAUAUAUAAUUGAGUAUAGAUGUCUACAACUCCCUUACCAAAUACUACUCUUUCGACUAUUUCUUAUAGUUGUUGAAAAGUUUCUUCAUCACUUCUAUCAAUGCUUGAUCAUCCAACUGUGAGAGCACAAACAAACAGUGGGUAAAGUGUUGCUUCUAUUGUACUUUUUAGUUUGAAUUUUAUUAUCCUCUUUCGAUUUCAGUAAAGAUUAACAAAAAAAAAUUGGGGUUAUUCAAAAAGAUUUUGCUAGUUGCAGAGAAACUUACUGUUCCUUGCUUUGUAAUUCCAAUAAUCACUAUCAAUCAAUCACAAUUAUCUUAGAUAAUGAUAUGACAAUUAGGUUUUUCAAAGGUAAACACCAGCCAAGAUUCAACGCCAACAAAGUAAGACUUGUAAACUUACAUAUAUCAUCAACUUUUCAAAGUGAUAAUAUCCAGCAAAGACUCACACACAUGCAUCUUUAAGCAAGUCCAGUACCUGUCAAAGAAACAAGUAGACCAAGUGAGAGAUCGAGAUUCAAGUUUCCAUGUGAGCUUUGUCCUAACAAAACUGAUCAACCAGGAAUCUAAGAUGUUUUUAAUAGAAUUAACUGACCGAACAGCCNNNNNNNNNNNNNNNNNNNNNNNNNNNNNNNNNNNNNNNNNNNNNNNNNNNNNNNNNNNNNNNNNNNNNNNNNNNNNNNNNNNNNNNNNNNNNNNNNNNNCUAAUUUUGCUGUUACACAAUCUUGUAUAAAAUUAAAGCUUAUUAUUAAAGACGAAAAUGGCAUAAGGGUUUCUAACCUCCUCCAUCGAUUCCCAUCUCCGAAGCUCUCAUCAUCUCUGAACCUCCAAGAUUUGAUAUACCCCGCAUUCUCCGAUCUUCCAGUUGUCAUUAUGGCAUAAUGUGAACUCAAAGAGAAUCUCAGUGGAAGUCACAUCCUCUGCUUCAACUUCAAAUGUGUAGAUAUGCUUUGUUAAAAGUGGAUCUAUGAAAUGGCCGCAUAGUUUACACCGAACUUCGAGAUCAUUCUGUUUGUCCAUGAUCUUAAUAUAUACAUCCAUCCAACCAUGAUCAUAAACCGUUUCUUCAUUAGUUUUAACCAGCAUGAUGCAAGCCUUAAAUCUCAAAGAUUUAGGAAGAGACGACUCAUCCAACUUGAUUGUCAAGGAACCUCCAGCAGUAGCUCGGUGAUUGAAGCAGGCAGGCACUUGUGUACCUGGUAACAUCGCAUAUUUACAAGUCGAUGUGUGCAUGAUGAGGUCUCUGGCUUCUUGAUUCAAACUGAAGCAGUCAGACAGAUAUAUGGAUGGUUAAAGGAACAAUCGAGCCUCUCAAGGGAUUGACAAUUCUCUGCAUCUAUGUAAAAUAGGGAAUCUGAAAAUUGGGGGAGGGAUAUCAGAUUCUUGCAGUUGUGGAGUCUAAGUACUCUUAAACGAGACAUUAGUGGCAUUGAUAGAAGACGGAAGUUUCACAAGACUUGAACAAUUACCAAGAUCCAAUUCCUCAAGUUUAUUUGCAUUCCUAAGUGAGGGAAUCUCCACAAGAUUUAAGCAAUUAGAGAGGUCUAAUACCUCGAGAUUGGUCAAAUUGUCAAUAGGACAAGGGAUUUUCACCAGCUUUGAACAAUAAGAGAGACUUAGUUCCUUGAUAUUGGUUGCAUUCCCAAUAGAAGAAGAAAGCUCUUCAAGAUUUGAGCAACCUGAGAGUUUUAAUUUUUGAAGAUUGGUCAAAUUCUCAAUAGAAGAAGGGAUUUUCACCAGCUUUGAACACUUAGAGAGAUUUAGUUCCCGGAGAUUGGUUGCAUUCCCAAUAGAAGAAGGAAGCUCCACUAAAUUCAUUUAGAUUAGUGGCAUUGAUAGAAGACGGGAGUUUCACAAGACUUGAGCAAUUACGAAGAUCCAAUCUUUCGAGUUUAGUUGCAUUCCCAAUAGAGGGAAGCUCCAAAAGAUUUGAGCAUCCAGAGAGGUCUAAUUCCUGGAGAUUGGUUGCAUUCUCGAUAAAAGAAGGGAUUUUCACAAGGUUUGAGCAAUAAGAGAGAUUUAGUUUCUGGAGGUUGGUUGCAGUCCCAAUAGAACCAGGAACCUCCAAUAAACUUGAGCAUCCUUGGAGAUUUAACUCUUCAAGAUUAGUGGCAGUUGAAAGAUCAGGAAGUGCUUUCAAAUCUUUAGAAUAAGACAAAUCCAUCCACCUAAGAUUUUUAAAUUGCUGCAUUGACACACACAAUAAGAAAAUGUUGACACGAUUGCCUUAUAAAAUUGUAGUUUGUUAACUAUACUAAGACAUUUGUACGGAAACGAACCAUAGAUAUUAAAAAAUGGUUUUGAAAAUUGAAUUUUUAAAAUCAAAAUUACUUACUUUGGUUCUUUCCCAAAGCUUCUCAAGCUCUAGAAGACUUGAGCAAUAAGAGAGAUCUAGUUCCUCAAGUUUAGUUGCAUUCCCAAGUGAAGAAAGCUCCAUAAGACUUGAGCAAUUACUUAGCUUUAAGUCAAAUUCUCAAUAGAAGAAGAGAUUUUCACCAGCUUUGAGCAAUAAGAGAGAUUUAGUGUCUCGAGAUUGGUCAAAUUCUCAAUAGAAGAAGGGAUUUUCACCAGCUUUGAACACUUAUAGAGAUACAGUUUCCGGAGAUUGGUUGCAUUCCCAACAGAAGAAGGAAGCUCCACUAAACUUGAGCAUCCUUGGAGAUUUAACUCUUCAAGAUUAGUGGCAGUUGAAAGAUCGGGAAGCUCUUUUAGAUCUUCAGAAUUAGACAAAUUCAUCCACCUGAGAUUUUUAAGUUGCUGCAUUGACAAAAUAAGAAAAUAUUGACAUGAUUGGCUUAUAAAGUUGGAGUUUGUUAAACAAAUUCUAGAAAUAUUAGUAAAGGUUUUGAAAAUUAAUUUUUUAAAAAAUUCAUAUUUACUUACUUUAGUUCCUUCCCAUAGUUUUUGAAGCUUGCUGGAACUCAUACAUAGUUCGACGAGAAACUCGGGAUUAAAAGUUGAUGGCAAACAUGUAUUCUGGAAAUAAAUCCAAUCUACUAAUCUAAUAUUUUGAGGAUAAUGAAGCAGUGAAUGCAGUCUCUCAGCCUGAGCAAGGUCCAUACCAUUGAUUCUUACAAAUUNNNNNNNNNNNNNNNNNNNNNNNNNNNNNNNNNNNNNNNNNNNNNNNNNNNNNNNNNNNNNNNNNNNNNNNNNNNNNNNNNNNNNNNNNNNNNNNNNNNNCAACAUCAUAACUUACUGUUGUAUCAUUGCUAAGCUCUUCACAUAUAUCUCUUGCAUCGACUAAAAGAUAAUGUUCCCUAAGGCCAUGCUGAACAAAUUUUUUACGUGAAGUUUCUCUUCCAAAUUGCUGUAGCAGAUGAUGCAUUUGUAUCCCUCCGUAUUCUAUAGAUAUGAGAGCUUUUUCAGCUAAAACUUCAAGACCUUGCCUCACAUCCGAGAACUUCUUUGACAGAAUCUCUUCCACAUUACGUGGAUAUAAGAACUUGUCGCUGAAAAAGCAGGCUAUAUAAAGAAAUAAGUAUUUGUUUUCUUCAUCAUCUAAGGCAUCAUAACUGAACUUCAUAAUGCUCUCUAUUUCUCCAUUAAGCUUGGUCUUUAACCUUGGUAGUUUCCUUUCCCACUCUGGCUUGGACUUUCCUUUCAAAGUGGAGCCUAGAAUCUUCAAACCCAAAGGGAGUUCACCAGCAAGGCAUGCAACUUCCUUAGCAAGCUCNNNNNNNNNNNNNNNNNNNNNNNNNNNNNNNNNNNNNNNNNNNNNNNNNNNNNNNNNNNNNNNNNNNNNNNNNNNNNNNNNNNNNNNNNNNNNNNNNNNNAUCUGGGUGCUUGUGUCCAAAGGCAUGCAUACAAAAGAUUUGAAAAGCCUCAUCACUUGUUGGAAAAUUCACUGCGUAAAUAUGAUUGAUCUUAAGAGCUUUAAGAACUCUUAGAUCUUCUGUUAUGAUUAUAAUCCGACUUCCAGGACCAAACCAUCGGGUUUCCUUCGCCAAGGCAUACACUUGUCCUAACUGAUCUACUUCAUCAAGAACGAGACACACUUUCUUUUCUUUCAACCAUUCUUGGGCCAUUCCUAAAUGAGAAAUCUUGAUAUCUUUCUGAUUCAUCAUUUGAGACAACAUUUGUUUUUGAAGUUGCAACUGCGCACUAUACUCAUCCGAACAAGAUCUCGGAUAGGGAUAGCUUCUUCUAAUAUCAACCAUGAUUGCACUAAGUUGGAAUCUGCUGGAGAAUCGGUCUAACAUAAAUCUAGCAAUGGUUGUCUUACCUAUACCAGGCGGACCCCAAAUCCCGAUUAUCUUUACCUCAUCCAAAUCUAGGCUUAACAAUUGCUCUAUCCUUUCCAUGUGAGCUUCCAUCCCAACUAAACCAUCAAAAUCUCUUGACGGUGUCGAGUUAUUCAACAUGUUUGAAAUAUCAGUGGCUAACUUUUCGAUCAUGGCCGCUUCAUUGACCCUAACAUUGGAAGAUAUUAACAUAACUAGUUCAAGCAAUAGUCUAGUCAUGAAAAAUUCUCAUACAUAUAGAUCCUAAAGAUAUAUAAUUUAUGUAUUUUGAUAUAUUUAAAAGGGAAAAAGCUUAAAAAUACCUCAUCUAUUUUUUAUUUGCAUGUUUAAUACAUGAUCUUUUUUGGUUGGAAAAAUAAUACCCAAAAUAAUAAAAAUGUGCAAUUUAAUACCUAAACUAUUAAAUAUUGAAAUUUUCCUAUAUUUUGAAUUAAAUCUAUAAAUUAAUGAUACAAUGAAAUAAUACUAGCAAAUAUUUUUCUUCCAAUAAAAUUGUAAUUAAUUUCAUGUCAUUUAUGCACUAUUUAAUAUUUUAGGUAUUAAAUUACACGUUUUUAUUAUUUUGAGUAUUAUUCUUCCAACCUAAAAAGAUCGGGUACCAAAUAAAAAAUAAAUGAGGUAUUUUUAAAGGCUACAAAUUAACAUAGUUUGAACUUUGAACUCUAACUCUUAAGGAGAGUAUAAAUCAAGAGGACAUACCAUUGGUGAAAAUGAUAUCCGGCGAUUGUGGCCACAUCUUCCAACGCUUUUCUCCAUAUCCCAGUGCGCUCUUUUGUUUUACCUUUACAAGUUUUUAUGAAGGCUUCUCCAAAAUUCCCCGUCUGCUUCUUUACUUCAGUUGGUUCUACUUCAUAGAAAAUAGUCAUGACUAUUUUACCCAACUCUUCCCUGCAUUUCAUGAUCUCUGCCAACUCAUCAAGACACCACGAAGAAGAAGCAUAGUUCUUGGAGAGCAAGACGAUCGCGAUCUUUGAUCCUUUGAUAGCUUCUUUGAGCUCAGGGCCGAUCGACUUGCUCCUCAGUAUAUCAUUAUCAAUGAAUGUGUCGAUUCCCUUUCUCUUGAAUGAUUCCAGGAUGUGACUAAGAAAGUUGCUUCGGACGUCUGCCCCGUGGAAGCUUGGGAAGACAUGGUAUUUCCAGUUUCGAGACACAGAAGACGAUAUAUUAUCUUUGCUGUCUUGUUGGAAUCUGAAUUUUGUAUAAACACUCGCUGCAACUGCGUCAAAAAGGAAAAAACAAAAAAUCAUUUGUAUGAUAAAAACAGGAUCAAGAAUUUUGAUAGAUAUAGAAAAUAUUAAAAAGAAUUCAUUAGUAUGAUAAAAACAGAAUCAUGAAUUUUGAUAGAUAUAUGUAAAGGUUAACAGACCGUUGGCACAGAAACUCAAAGGACGUUUCCAAGAAAUCUCAUCAUCGUUAGUUGAGCAUAUCUUUUGUCUUUUAACAGAUUCGGUUUCCACGUCGUCCGGACUCGUAGCUUUCCUCUUGUUACAGCUCAAACUCAUUACAGAACCCAUUGAUGGAAUUAAGAAGUUUCACACUGCAGCGAUCAUUUGUUCCGACAAUUAGGUGAAAAUUUUGAAUAAAACAAAGAAACCUAAAAGUUAAAAACCAAGAACACAUAAUCAAGAACUGGUCUCAAAACACUAAUCGAAAACAAAGAAACCAUCAAGAUUACCAUAAUCAUCAAGAACCAGUCCAGUUACUUCGAUUACAGAGUGAUUCAACCUUAAGUAAAAAUUAAAAAAAAAAUAAAACAGUAUAAAAUGUUGGAGUUUAGUUGAGACAGAGAAGAGUAAGAAAAUCUCACCGAUGCAAUAAAAAAAAAGACAGAGAAAUCUCCAAAGAGGUUGUUGAAACAAUUGCUGUGUGAAUGAGAGGAUGUAAGACCAUUCGUUGACGACACUUUUUGCGUACAGUGGAUGUUUCCUUGAAAAUAUCAGUGAGAGAUUUUGUGGAAAAUGUUUGCUAACGAUCACACCUACUACUUCCACUAAUUCCACUAAUCAUUUACUAAUGCAAGUUGACAUUGUGAUUAGUCAUCGAGUGUCUUUAAAUUAAUAAUCUUUGAUGUAUUAUUUAUGGAGGAUAUUAAAUAAUAAUGUUGUUUGACUGUGGUAUUCUUUUUGGGAGAUUUUGGAAUAUUUUUCAUUGAAUUUUCAGGUUAAGGUUUGUUCAAAGGUUUUUUAAGAACGAAAGGAAUCAAGGAUAGUCACAAUGGAACAGAGUCUAGACUAUAUAUAUAUAUAUAAGUCGAACAUAACCAAAAUUCAUCAAUGCAAAUUCUAAAACCUAAUUUAUUUAAAAAUAUAAAUUACAUAUAAAUUACACCUACUACUUCCACUAAUUCCACUUUUUCUAAUGCAAGUUGACUUUAAAUUUAACGCUUACUAAAUUAGGAUACAUAAUCAAAUUUCUCUCUUUUUUUUUUUAAUUAGGACGCUGCAAGGGAGAAUAUUUUUUGUCCAGAAUGAGAUCAUUUAACGCUACUGAACGUGGAAAGAGCAUGACUAAUCAAACAAAAUUAUAUUUUGGUUUGGGUUGAAAAAUUAGUGGCUAGGGUUUAAAUUUUCUAAUCAAACAAAAUUAUAUUUCGGUUUGGAUUGACAAAAUAGUGGUUAUGAUUUAUACUCCCUUUGUUUCUAAAAGAGUGAUGUUGUAGAAGAUUUUUUUUUUGUUUCUAAAAGAUUGAAUUUUAUUUAAUAUAUUUAUUAUUUUGAGAAAAAGAGAGAAUGAAACAAAAAUGAUGAAAUGUAUAACGAUUGGAUCUCUUACAUAGAAUAGAGCAAAAGUAAAAGUAAUAUUAACUAAAAGAAAAAGAAACUAAUUAUAUAAUUAUAUAAUUUUUCUUUCUUAAUAAGUGUGAAAAAUACUAAACAUCAAACUAUCAGAAACAGAAAGAGUAUUUUCUAAUUAGAUGAAAUUAUAUUUCGGUUUGGGUUUAUAAAAGACUGGUUAAGGUUUGUUUUAUUUUUUGAUUUAUUUUUUAAAUAUAAUACGACAUGACAUAUUGUUUUAUUUUGAUUGGCUAGUCAAUAAAAAGUGAACAAGGGGUGAACCCAAGUAUUGCUCGAUGUUGUUUAAAGUAGUCGCAACGAUCAUAUUAACUGUCGCCGUUUUUUUUGGCGAUGAAUGGUCACACCGGCGACAUAUGUAAAUGUAGUCGCAGCGACUGUUUUCUCUUUCACCACCGCUUAUUUGGUCACAAAACACGCUAAAUUUUUGGUCGCAAGGAAUAAACGCAACGAUCACGUAGGCCUUAUUUAUUAUUGAGCUUAUAGGUAGGACUGUACAGUUGUAUACGAAUAUUACACCGAUUAAAACAGAGUGGUCUUCUAAAGUUUCUGAGGAAGAGAAAAAUACUUGUACGUUGUAAGUUAUGAAUUAUCCUUGUAUUAUCUUUUAGAGUACGUAGUUUCAUCACCAAGGUACAAGGUCUGUCUUAUUUCUAGUAACCUCAACGUCUCAUCUACUUUUGCCCACUGUCGUGUCGACGAAACGGCCAGGCCUUCUCUUCUUUAAAGAAAACAUUUCUGUUUUCUUCUUACUUCUUAGGUCACUUAUAUGAAUCACUCUUGACGUUUCUGUUUAUCAAUACCAUAUAUGGAUAAUGGAUGUGAAUACGAGUUUGCUAAUACAGAUCUUCACAUAAAUCAAUUUCAUCAAAUGUACUUUGGCUCUUCCCUAUUUUGAUUUGCAUUCAUAUAUUUUCAAAAAUUGUAUAGUUUAUUCAUGUUUUGGGAUACGAUAUGUGAACUUUCAUCAUUUGUUUGUUUCAGUUCUUAUGUUGCUUUGUAAUUCGAGCCAAGUAAGUCUAGCUAGUUGAAUCUGCAGAUUAAUAUAUCAUUAAGCAAUACAGAGUAAGUGAACGAUAAAAUAAAACAGAGCAAGCAAAACAAAACCAAAACUUUCUGCAGAUGCGUCUAUUAAGAGAAUCAAAUUUCCAUGUGAGCUUAGUCCCAACAAAACAGAUCAACCACGCAUUUACAAAACUUAAAAAAAGUAGUGAUACAUGAAACUGUUUUCAAUAGAACUAACUGAGAGAACAGCCUGACUAGUGACUAGAACAGCCUGACUGGUGACUAGAACAGCCUGACUAAUGAUAGAGAGCUUGAAUGGACAGACUCAUUAAGAGCUAACUGUUUUGCAUAAACGACCGAGCUAACUAUUAGGGAUACAAUAUCCCACAUUGGAAGUUGAGUAGGAUCCUGACUAGUAUAUAAGAUAUAUGGGCCUGCCCCAGACGACUUCUGUUUCCUCAUAUGUUCUCUUGUGUUGCUUGGUUGAUCAAUCAGAAUCGCAGUCGCACAAUAUUAAGAUUUUUGUUUCUUUUGUUUGUUUUAGAAUCUUUCAUUUUUGUAAAAUUUGCGUGUGAUGCACAUGUUAUAUAUAUAUAUAUAUAUAUAUAAAGUUACAUUUCCUCUCUUCUCCUUCCGCCACAUCAGCGCCACAUCAUCCGCCACAUCAUCAACUUAAAAAAAAAAAUUCAAAAGGGCAUGGACUUGAGGCCCAACGGUUACACAACAAUCAAACCGGUUAAAAAAGAUCGAGAAAACGUUAGAUACACAAAUUUAGAACUAGAUAGUUAAACGUCGGAUACAACAAUCAAACCGAUAGAGGAUAGAUCGGAAAAACAUCUAUUAGAACCGUUGUUUACAAGAGCAACUCCUUUGCAGCAAUGCUCCGAUUGAAACUAUUAGCGAGGGUACAUAGAUUUAAGCAUAGGAAGAAACCAAAAACAAGCCAGAUUCUAGAACAUUUUAAUGUAAUAGAUCAAAAGUAGACACCGGAAACAUUAUCUCUCUAAUCUCACACCUAGCGAAAUGAGAGAAUACCGCAGAAAGUUGCUCUCGACCUCUGGCGAAUAGCAAAUAACAAUAAACAUUUUAAGUAUUAAACUAAUACAAAUUUUUUUUUUUUUUAAGUAAUUCAUGUGAAUUUAGAAUAGCAAAAAUGAUAACGGUAAAAAACCAACAAAAAAAUGUAAAAAAUAAUAUAAUAUAAAUUAUAAAUUUUCCGCGCGCAGCGCGGAUCAACAACUAGUUAUGUUAUAUAAAUGACUUUUAGAAAAUUCUGAACUUUUAAGGAGAUGUUGGAUGCAUUGAACCAACUAGAAGAAGGGCUAAAAGACAAGAUCAAGGAAAUUAAGUUCCUUCGAAAAGUAUAAGCAAGAGAUUCUUCUUGGCCAUCUUGACUGGAAUCCAAUACACAAAGAGGCCAAUUUCUGGCGUGAGAAUGUCACAAGCUUUGAAGAGAUUGACUUCCAGGUAUUACUUCUUUAAACCUGUCUGGUCCUCCUAAUCACGUUUUAAUACUUGUCUGGAUGAAGAUACUCAGGGCCCUCCACACGAUUCUGGACACGUCGAUUGAUCCAAGAUCAUUGGCGGUGGCAUGCUUUGAUCUCUCACAUUCAUACAGUACCACGCAGUGUUACAGACCUCAAGGCAAAAGAACAAGUGUGAAACUGAUGAACCACGACAACACUGAGGUCACCAAGAUACUAAUCAAAAUGUUACAAAUAUUUCUAUUUAGCUAUUUAGGAAAUUAUAAAGUGUUGCUAUUUUCUUAUUUACUUUUCUCUUAGGGUUUUACUUCUACGUUUUAUUAUAUAUAGAGAUGAAGUCUAGUUGUAAGACUCGUCCAAGCUAGAGAGUGCUUUCUAUUGGGUUAGGCCGAGGGAAGAGAACUUAAGGAGAGUAUUGAGUUUUAUUUCUGGUUCGUGACUAUUCUUAUCUAACACAAAACCACACAAUUCCUGUAUAAUGUUGAAUAAUUAUUUCUCAUUCUUGGAUCAAACAAAUAAAAACAUGAAUUUCAAAAGUCUAAACAACUCUUCACUAGCUCGCACCAAAACCCUAAAAACAAAAUCCCAAAAACAUCAUUCACUAAUCAAAAUACCAAUUUCAAAAGUCGCUACAGCUCCCCGGUGUUUGAAUCAAACACGAAUUUCUUAUACUCAUGCCUUUUAGAUUCUUCCUUCUGCUACUCGAUUCUAUUUUCACGGUCUUUGUUUGUAUAGAUCUCCUUUAUCUGCAAUUAAUUUCAAUAAAACAUAACAUUACACAAUAUUCUAAUCUCCCCCAUCGAUGCUCAUCUCUGAAGCUCUCAUCUUGUUCAUUAACGUUAAGGAACCUCCAAGAUUUGAUAUACCCCGCAUUCUCCGAUCUUCCAUUUGUCAUUAUAGCGUGAUGUGAACUGAAAGAGAAGCUCGGUGGAAGUCACAUCCUCUGCUUCAACUUCAAAUGUGUAGAUAUGCUCUGUUAAAACUGGAUAUAUAAGACGACUUAUUGGUGUACACCGAACUUUGAAAUCAUUCUGUUUGUCCAUGAUUUCAAUCCAUAUAGAACAACGAUCAGCACCUGUUUCUCCAAUAAUAUUAAGCAGCAUGAUGCAAGCCUUAAAUCUCAAAGAUUUAGGAAGAGGCGACUCAUUCAACUUGAUUGUCAAUAAACCUCCAGCAGUAGCUCGGUGAUUGAAGCAGGCAGGCACUUGUGUACUUGGUAACACCGCAUAUCCAGAAGUGGAUGUGUGCAUGAUGAGAUCUCUGGCUUCUUGAUUCAGUUUGAAGCAAUUUCUGAAACUCAGAUGGAUCUGUGGAUGGUUAAAGGAACAAUCCAAUCUCUCAAGGCAUUGACAAUUGUCUGCAUCUAUGCAAGAUAGAGAAUCUGAAAAUUGGGGGAGUGAUACCAGAUGAUUGCAGUUGUCGAGUCCAAGUAUACGUAAACGAGGCAUUCCCUUGACACAUGGAGGAACUUCUUGUAUAUCUUCGUUUAUCAACUGCAGCUCCGUGAUGACGUCAAGAGCAUGCGGGAAUUCCUUGAGGCUUACAAAGUAUGACAUACAGAAAUGAGAAAGACCAGAGCACGACAUGAUCGACAAAGGAACUUCUUUUAUUGAUGUUCCUGUGAGCCACAGAGACUUAAUGUUUGUGGAGAUCUCAGGAAAACUUUUCAACUGCGAGCAGUCUCUGAGAUUAAGUUCACUGAGAGAUUUCAAGUUGAUGUUGGUUGGAAGAGCCUCUAGCUUUGAGCAUCCUCUCAAUGUCAACGAAGACAAUCGCUGAAGGUUCCCUAUAGAGGAUGGAAGCUCCACCAGAUUUGAGCAGUUAGAUAGAUCCAAAUCUUCGAGAUUAGUGAGAUCUCCAAUAGAGGAGGGGAGAUUCACGAGACUUGAGCACCCUCUCAUUUCCAAUCUCUUAAGGUUUGUGGCAGUUCCAAUAGAAGGAGGGAGCUCUAGUAGACUUGAGCAAUUAUUGAGAUUCAAUAUCACAAGUUUAGUCGCAUUCUCGAUAGCAGGUAGCUCCAAAACACGUGAACAAUUUUGUAGAAGCAAUCUCUUGAGAUUAGUGGCAUUUAUAGAAGACGGGAGUUUCACAAGACUUGUGCAAUCACAAAGAUAUAACUUCUUGAGUUUAUUUUCAUUCCCUAUAGAGGAUGGAAACUCCACCAGAUUUGAGCAGUUAGAUAGAUCCAAAUCUUCGAGAUUCUCAAUAGAAGAAGGGAUUUUCACUAGCUUUGAGCACCUAGAGAGAUUUAGUUCCUGGAGAUUGGUUGCAUUCCCAAUAGAAAAUGGAAGCUCCACUAAACUUGAGCAUCCUUGGAGAUCUAAAUUUUCAAGAUUAGUGGCAGUUGAAAGAUCGGGAAGCUCUUUCAGAUCUUUAGAAUCAGACAAAUCCAUCCACUUGAGAUUUUUAAGUUGCUGCAUUGACAGUACACUAAGAAAAUGUUGAUACGAUUGGCUUAUAAAGUUGGAGUUUGUUAAACACUAGAAAUUUUUACAGAAACAAACUAUAGAAAUAUUAGAAAAGGUUUUGAAAAUUACUUUUAAAAAAAUCAAAAUUACUUACUUUAGUUCCUUCCCAUAGUUUUUGAAGCUUGCUGGAACUCAUACAUAGUUCGACGAGAAACGCGGGAUUAAAAGUAGAUGGCAAACAUGUAUUCUUGAAAUGACUCCAAUCUACUGAUCUAAUAUUUUGAGGAUAAUGAAGUAGUGAAUGCAGUGUCUCAGCCUGAGCAAGGUUCUGACCAUUGAUUCUUACGAAUUGGAGAUCAAACAUUCUUUCAAGUGCUUUCUCCUUUGUGUUUAAUUCUUCCUCAUUAUUAGAUAAAUCAAAAUUUAUGCCUAUAAAACGCCUAUUAUCCUGAAAAAAUAAAUAUAAUUAGAUAUGGCUAGUUAUAAAAUAAAGUUAAUUGGUAAAGAGCAAUAUUACUACAACAUAACUUACUGUUGUAUCAUUGUUAAGCUCUUCACAUAUAUCUCUUGCAUCGACCAAAAAAUAAUGUUUCCUAAGGCCAUGUUGAACGAAUUGCUUACGUGAAGUUUCUCUUCCAAAUUGUUGUAGUAGAGGAUGCAUCUGUAUCUUUCCGUAUUUAAUAUAUAUGAGAGAUCUUUCAGCUAAAACGUGAAGACCUUGCCUCACAUCCGAAAAAGUCUUUCGAAGAAUCUCUUCCACUUUAUGUUGAUGUACGGCUUCACCAUUAAAAAAGCAGGCUAUAUAAAGAAAUAAAUAUUUAUAAUUAUCAUAAUAUAAAGCCUCGUAACUGAUCUUUAUAAUGCUCUCUAUUUCUCCAUUAAGGUUGGUCUUUAACAUUGGUAGUAUCCUUUCCCACUCUGCCUUGGGCCUUCCUUUCAAACUGGAGCCUAAAAUCUUCAGUCCCAAAGGGAGUUUACCAGCAAGGUUGGCAACUUCUCUAGCAAGCUCAUAGAAGCCAUCAUCUGGGUGCUUGUGUCCAAAGGCAUGCUUACAAAAGAUUUGAAAAGCCUCCUCACUUAAUGGAAAUUUCACUUUGUAAAUAUGAUUGACCCCAUGGGCGUUCAAAACUCCUCUAUUUUCUGUUGUGAUUAUAAUCCGACUUCCAGAACCAAACCACUGAAUUUUUUCCGCCAAGACUUGUAGCUGACUUAAGCAAUCCACAUCAUCAAGAACGAGUAACACUUUCUUGUCUUUCAACCGUUCUUGUGCCACUCCUAGAUGAGGAAUCAUGUUAUCUUUAAGAUUAAUAGUCUUAGAUAACAAAUCGCUUUGUAGUUGCAAUUGUGCGCUAAAGUCAUUCAAACGAACACUUGGAUAGCUUCUUUUGAUAUCAAACAUGAUCGCACUAAAUUGGAAUUUGUUGGCUACUUGGUCAAACAUAAUUCUAGCGAUUGUUGUCUUACCAAUCCCAGGCGGCCCCCAAAUCCCGAUCAUCCUUACUUCAUCCAAAUCUAGACGUAAUAAUUGUUCGAUCAUUUUCAUAUGAGCUCCCAUCCCUACUAAAUUGUCAAUAUCACUUGAAGGUAUGGAGCAAUUUAAUAUGUUUGAAACACCAGUGGCUAUGUUUUCGAUCAUGUCUGCUUCGUCAGUCCUAACAUAAGAGGAUAUUAACAUAAAUCUAUCAAAUAGUCUAGUCAUGAAAAAUUCUCAAUACAUACAGAUCCUAAAGAUAUGUAAGUUAUGUGUCUUGAUGAUACUUUUAAAAGCUACAAAUUAAACAUAGUUUGAAAUCUUACUCUAAGUAAAUAUUAAUUAAGGAGAAUAUAAAUCAAGAGGACAUACCAUUUCUGAGAAUGAUAUCCGGCGAUGGUGGCCACAUCCUCCAAUGCUUUUCUCCAUAUCUUAAUAUGCUCUUUUUUUUUACCUCUACACGUUUUUCUGAAGGAUUUUCCAAAAUCACCCGUUUGUUUCUUUAUGUCAGUUGGAUCCACUUCAUAGAAAAUAGUCAAGACUAUUUGACCCAACUCUUUCCAGCAUUUCAUGAUCUCUGCCAACUCAUCAAGACACCACGAAGAAGAAGCAUAGUUCUUGGAAAGUAAGACGAUCGCGAUCUUCGAUCCUCUAAUAGCUUUUAUGAGCUCAGGACCAAUCGGCUUACUCCUCUCUAUCUCAUCAUCAAUGAAUGGGUCGAUUCCCAUUCUCUUGAACACUACAAGGAUAUGACUAAGAAAGGUUCUUCGGACAUCUGGUCCGUGGAAGCUCGGAAAGACAUCGUGUUUCCAAAUUUGAGACACAGAAGUUGAAGGAGAUGAAAGGGAUAAAGUAGAUAUAUUAUCUUUAUCAUCUAGUUGGAAUCUGAAUUUUGUAAAAACACCCGUUGCGACUGAGUCAAAGAGAAAUAGAAUUCAUUAGUAUGAUAAGGACAUGAUCAAGAAUUUUUAUAGAUGGAGGAAAGAUUAACAUACCGUUGAUGACUCUGGUUGCACAGAAACUCAAAGGAUGUUUCUUCCAAGAAAACUCAUCUUGAAGAAUCAAUUUGCCAUUCUCAACAUCGUUGGUUGAACUUGAGCACACCUUUUGUCUUUUAACAGAUUCGGAUUCAACGUCCUCCUGACUCGUAGCUUUCCUCUUGUUACUGCUCAAGCUCAUUACAGAACCCAUAGAUGUUUCACUGUAACAAUAAAUAAUUCCCACAAUUAGGAGAAUAAAUGAAUAAAACAAGAAACCCAAAAGUUAAAAUCAAGAACACAUAAUCAAGAACUGGUCUCAAAACACUAAUCGAAAACAAAGAAACCAUCAAGAUCAACAUAAUCAUCAAAAACCAGUCCACUCAAUUCGAUUCCACAGUGAUUAAACCUUAAGUAAGAGACAAAUCGGGACAUGAAAAUCUUACCAAUGCAAUAAAAAGACCGAGAGAUCUUCAGGACUUGGAAGAAUCACACUUUGUUGUUGAAACAAUUGUUGUGUGAAUCUGAGAGUAAAUAGACUUUUUUCGUUGACGACUCUUUUUGCACAUAAACUCAAUGGAUGUUUCCUGGAAAAUAAGGUUAGAUUUCGUGGAAAAUGUUGCUAACGACAAAACCACUGUCCAAAGGCUCCACCACCAUUCUCUUAACCAAACAAUGAUAAGGGAAAAUUCAAACUGUUAUCAUCUCAAAACAACAACACCUCACUCACGUCCACACAUUCUUAUUUUCUCUUUUUAUCUCCUAAUAUUAAUGAAUGAUAGUUCAGUUUAAAGAAUAUCUUCUUAAGAAUAUGUUCAGUUUUAACAAUGAUUUACAAAGAAUAAUAAAAGAUGUCAAAAGAUGUCAAAAGAUUCAAGCUUCGCAUCAUUUCUCUCAUACUCUUACAUUAUUAAGCUAUAAAUCUCAAUAAUUGAAAAAACAUAAUAAGUGGGACUCUGAACUUUCCAAGGUAAUUACUGUCCAGCAAAGACUCACCAGUUUCCUUGGUAGUGACAAUUGCAUAUUUUGACGUAGAUAUAAAAGUGGCUAUGCAACUUCAGAUGCUUACUAGUUACUAGGGAACGUAGCUUCUCUUCUUUUUUUUUUUUUAAAAACACAAUUUCUUGUUUCUUACGUCUCUUAUGAACAAUAUACUCUCAGCUACCCGCUGACUUGCAAGCACAAAUUUUCCAGAAACUGGAAGAUGCAUUGCUGCCACCAAUAUUGCUGCCACCAAUAUUUCUUCUCAGCCCGUAAAUGCAUUGUUGCCACCAAUAUUGCUGAAACAUCAUUGACAGUCGCUGGAAUAUAUUAUGUGAUUGACUAUCGUGUCGAUGCUUUCAGUACCUUCAGUGUUCUUCAGACCUAAAGAAAGAGCAGAAGAGAGUGACGCUGCAAGGGAGAUUUUUUUUUUGUACCAGAAUGAGAUCAUUUAACGCUACUAACUGUAUACCAGCAGUGGAAAGAGCAUGACUAUAGAGGAGACUGGUGCAAUGACCAUUACCUACAAGUCUAAGGUCUGAGAAAAGCUAGAGAGGUCAGAUCCCAGCUUCUAGAUAUCCUCAAAGCAACUAAAGAUACCACUUACGUCGUGUGGACCGGAUUGGGAUAUUGUGAGAAAAUGCAGUGUGCCACAUUGGCUAGCUGAGUUAGGGCCUAUGUUCUUCUCGGACAAAGACUCAGAUACAUCGAUGUUGGAGCAUAAGAAGAAGCAGAAGGAAGAGAAAACAGCGAUGGAGAAACUGAGAAGAGAUCAGGCGGAGAACAAUCUUGUAUUCUAACUGUAAUCUAACUUGAAGCAAACUGUAAUCUAACUUGUAUCUCUGUUUUAAGAUGUUUCUCAAUUGAGAACAAUCUUGUAUUGAGUUCUUUUUCGCUAAUUUGUUAGUUAGAAAUGCACUUCAAUUCUAAUAUAGCAAAGUUUUGGACUGAAUUUUCCAAUGUGGAAUUUGUAAUUCUCUUCCACUCGAAAAUAUGCAAAGUACAAAAUGGGUGAAGUAAUAGUUUACAUUAGUAAUAGUUCGUAGUCUGCUCCAUCUCAACCAAAUAAGUAGAGUUUUUUGCACAUCAUCUCAUCUCUGCAAAACAUUCACAUUUAUAUGAAGUCUUUUGUGGAUUUUACAAUGCUUAAGCCCCUAAUUUCCAAAUCCAGUUACUGGAGUUGUUAUGUGGCACACAAAUGUCAUCAAAUCCAUACAAGUUUCGAAAUCUCCCUCUCAUCAAUUCACAUUUCGCCACCACCAUCUACAACAUCUUAUAAGCAAGUCUAAUGCUUCGGCUCCAUCAUCUCUGCAUUUAAACCACAGCCACAUUAUUAACAAAACACAUUGAUCCAAAGAGCAGACAAAAGAUGCCAACCUGAGGAGAUUUUUAGAAGGGCCCUAUCAAAAUAUUACCGCUUUCUCCGUCUGAUAUUUCUUCAAGCUUUGCGAUUGCAUCCAUAAGAAGAGUUCAUGAUCCUAGAGUAACACAAAUGAACAUGACAUAGCAAAUAUAACAGUAAAAAUAAAUUUGGCACAAGAUGUAUGUUUUCUAAAGGCAGAGCCAUUUAACUAAACUUUAUACAAUACAAAUUUAUUCAGCUUUUACUAAGAAAAUCAGUACAAAUUUCAGCAUUUAGCAGCACCUUCUGGACGGGCUUAUCUAACACGCGUGAAUAUUUUCAACGACAUAGCAAAUUGCAGAAUCAACAAUUUGAAACAAGCUAAGUGUUAUAUUGCUUUGCAUUACCUGGUCCAUAUUCUGUGCUAGGCUAGAAUGAUCAGUAAACUUAGGCACCUUUACCAAUACAGAAUAAUAAUACACUUUCUGGUUCCCUUUCGUUGGCUUGUUUUUUACUGGUUCUUCCACCUCAGAUCAAUGUUUGCAACGCGGAGAGAUCAGGUAUCUGCCAAUUGUAAGCAAAGCCAUAAGUUCAAAACAAGUUAACAAAUGACAAGAAAAUAGGAUUGUUCUGCAUACCUCGUCAAUCAUAAGCCUCAAUAUAUCAUGCGCACGAGGUUCACCAGAUCGUUUAUGGAUACCAUAUUGUUGACAUGAUACAACUUAUGUAAACUUCAUGUCAGCAACAGCUUGGCACUGUGCCAACCUAACCGAAAACAAUCAACUGACCUGCNNNNNNNNNNNNNNNNNNNNNNNNNNNNNNNNNNNNNNNNNNNNNNNNNNNNNNNNNNNNNNNNNNNNNNNNNNNNNNNNNNNNNNNNNNNNNNNNNNNNNNNNNNNNNNNNNNNNNNNNNNNNNNNNNNNNNNNNNNNNNNNNNNNNNNNNNNNNNNNNNNNNNNNAAAGCUCAAAAUUUAAGCCAUACCAUCUGAAUCACUUCAUAGAUAUUUUGAAGUCAAAACUUUCCGAUCAAGAAUGCAUCUUCCUCGCCUCCAUAAGCUGGCUUCACAUUCUCCCCAGUCAUAGGACUAACACAUUCCCAGCCAGCAUACCAUAGAGUUCAAAUGCCAUCUGCAAAAGCAUGAAAUAGAGUAGGAAGAGUAUAUACAACACAUUUAAUUAGGAAUGCUCAGCGAAAAAAUCAGUGUAUUAUCAAAAUCAAGCAUGCUAAUUAACCAUCUGUACUAAAAUGCUAAUUUUGUAAGGAAAACAAUAUCAAUCGACAUUUUCUCAUCAAGAACAUAUACACAAGUUUCCCCUUAAAAUAAAAUAAAAAUUAUUAGUGUGCUUGCAAGUUAUUAGCUUCUUACUUCUUAGCAGAAAUACAAACAACAAAAGAAUGAAACUUUCAAUGAUAAAGUUUGACAGUAAAGCAUAAUAUUAGCACUGGCGGAAAAGCAUAAAAAAAAAAAAACAAGAAUCGCGCACAAACUAUGGAAGACUUGCACAAAGAAACAUACAUGAUGAUAAAAUGUAGCAGAGACACUCCGACAUGAAUCUCAAGUUCGCUGCUUCACCCCAAGAUUAGAAGAUAGCUUGCGCUGUUGCAUUUCCUGCUGUAUAGUUGGCAACCCACAAGUAGAGCAUACAUUAAAACAUAUUCUCGACACCAGAGUUUGCUAAAACAUUUAGCCACAAACAAAAAAAUUUUAAUUCCUGCUCAUGAAAAAUACACAGAAACUCUUAGUUACUUUUGAAUAUAAUAUUUUUUCGAGUCAGUUCCUAAAAUUUCUGUUUAUGAUCAUAUUCUAAGCUACUCCUGCAGAAACUAUAUAUAAUUGAGUAUAGAUGUCUACAACUCCCUUACCAAAUACUACUCUUUCGACUAUUUCUUAUAGUUGUUGAAAAGUUUCUUCAUCACUUCUAUCAAUGCUUGAUCAUCCAACUGUGAGAGCACAAACAAACAGUGGGUAAAGUGUUGCUUCUAUUGUACUUUUUAGUUUGAAUUUUAUUAUCCUCUUUCGAUUUCAGUAAAGAUUAACAAAAAAAAAUUGGGGUUAUUCAAAAAGAUUUUGCUAGUUGCAGAGAAACUUACUGUUCUUGUAAUUCCAAUAAUCACUAUCAAUCAAUCAUAAUUAUCUUAGAUAAUGAUAUGACAAUUAGGUUUUUCAAAGGUAAACACCAACCAAGAUUCAACGCCAACAAAGUAAGACUUGUAAACUUACAUAUAUCAUCAACUUUUCAAACUGAUACAAUCCAGCGAAGACUCACAUACAUGCAUCUUUAAGCAAGUCCAGUACCUGUCAAAGAAACAAGUAGACCAAUUGAGAGAUCAAGAUUCAUGUUUCCAUGUGAGCUUUGUCCUAACAAAACAGAUCAACCAGGAAUCCAAGCUGUUUCAAUAGAAUUAACUGACCGAACAGCCUGACUAAUGAGACUACUAGAGCUAAUUAAGAUGCUGCAUCUUUACGAUCGGAAGCUUGAAUGGACAGACUCAUUAAGAGCUAACUAUUUUGCCUAACCGACCGAUCUAACUGCCCUAGAUGACUCCCGUUUCCUGAUAUACUUUGUUUUGCCUAAACGAGUAACGGCCUUCUUUUAUAUAUGGAGGGUUCAGCUACCUAUAGUAACUUAUUGACUUACUUAACCAGAGGAUCAACUGUGUAAAACCAUUCAAUAAUUCUUUAAUAGUAAUUUACCUUCUCAAAACAAUGAGCUCCACCCUAAUACAGGUCUGGAUCGUAUUUGUUGCACAUUAGCUUAACCUGAAAAUUUAAUGAAAGAAGUUCUGAGAUCUCCAAAAAGAAAGAACAACAACAACAAACACCAAUGGUAUUAUCAUAACAUCAAAAUUCAUCAAUAAAGGAUAUUAAUUUCAACUCUCCAAAGACUAAGCACAUCUCAAUUUUCAAAAUCUAACCACAUAAUUUUUUUGUAGAAUCUUGAAUAAUUACUCUUUCUUGUACCUUUGUUUUGCUCAUCCAUUGCAAGAAUAAAAUUAAAUUCUCUGAAAUUAGCUGCCUCAUGACUCGGUCUGGUUAAUGAUGUUAUCACUCAAUCCGGCGAAGUUUCGCAGCACUUUUCAUUCUUGGAUCAGCCAUAUCUCACAAAUCAAAAGUGAAUCAGAAACAUGAACUGAAAAGUCUCAAUAGCUCUUGACGAUUCUUCCUUCUUCUUCUGAUGAACUCUAAUUUUGCUGUUCUUUAUCUACAAUUAGUUUCAGUUAAACAUUAAACAAUCUUAUAUAAAAUAAAAGGUUAUUAUUAAAGACGAAAAUGGCAUAAGGGUUUCUAACCUCCUACAUCGAUUCCCAUCUCUGAAGCUCUCAUCAUCUCUGAUCCUCCAAGAUUUGAUAUACCCCGCAUUCUCCUAUCUUCCAGUUGUCAUUACCGCCUAUCUUCCGGUUGUCAUUAUUGGGUGAUGUGAACUGAAAGAGAAGCUCGGUGGAAGUCACAUCCUCUGCUUCAACUUCAAAUGUGUAGAUAUGCUCUCUUAAAACUGGAUAUAUAAGAUAAUUUCUUGGUGUACACCGAACUUCGAAAUCAUUCUGUUUGUCCAUGAUUUCAAUCCAUAUAGAACGAUUAUCAUCACCAGUUUCUUCAUUAGUUUUAAGCAGCAUGAUGCAAGCCUUAAAUCUCAAAGAUUUAGGAAGAGGCGACUCAUUCAACUUGAUUGUCAAUAAACCUCCAGCAGUAGCUCGGUGAUUGAAGCAGGCAGGCACUUGUGUACUUGGUAACACCGCAUAUCUAGAAGUGGAUGUGUGCAUGAUGAGAUCUCUGGCUUCUUGUUUCAAUUUGAAGCAGUUGCUGAAGUUCAAACGGAUCUCCGGAUUGUUAAAGGAACAAUCCAGUGUCUCAAGGGAUUGACAAUUGUCAGCAUCUAUGUAAGAUAGAGAAUCUGAAAAUUGGGGGAGGGAUACCAGAUUCUUGCAGUUUUGGAGUCUAAGUACUCUUAAACGAGACAUUCCCUUGACACAUGGAGGAACUUCUUGUAUAUCUUCGUUCAACUGCAGCUCUGUGAUGAUGUCAAGAGCAUGUGGGAAUUCCUUGAGGCUUUCAAAGUAUGACAUACUGAAAUCAUAAAGACGAGACCACGACAUGAUCGACAAAGGAACUUCUUUUAUUGAUGUUCCUGUGAGCAACAGAUACGUAAUGUGUGUGGAGAUCUCAGGAAAACUUUUCAACUGCGAGCAAUCUGUGAGAUCAAGAAAAAAGAGAGAUUUCAAGUUGAUGUUGGUUGGAAGAGCCUCUACCUUUGAGCAUCCUCUCAUUUUCAAAUAAGACAAUAGCUGAAGGUUCCCUAUGGAAGAAGGAAGCUCCACCAUAUUUGAGCAAUUAGAUAGAUCCAAAUCUUUGAGAUUAGUGAGAUCUCCAAGAGAGGACGGGACAUUCACGAGACUUGAGCAUCCGCUAACAUACAAUUUCUUCAGAUUUGUGGCAGUUCCAAUAGAAGGAGGUAGCUCUAGUAGACUUGAGAAAUUACUGAGAUUCAAUAGGUCAAGUUUAGUGGCAUUGAUAAAAGACGGGAGUUUCACAAGACGGGAGCAAUUUGCAAGUUCCAGUUCCUCCAGUUUAGUUGCAUUCUCUAUAGAGGGAAGCUCCACAAGAUUUAAGCAAUCAACGAGAUUUAAUUUCUGGAGAUUGGUCAAAUUCCCAAUAGAAGAAGGGAUUUUCACCAGCUUUGAGCAUCCAGAGAGAUUUAGUUCCCGGAGAUUGGUUGCAUUCCCAAUAGAAGAAGGGAUUUUCACCAGCUUUGAGCAUUCCGAGAGAUUUACUUCCCGGAGAUUGGUUGCAUUCCCAAUAGAAGAAGGAAGCUUCCUUAAACUCUCACACCAAGUGAGAUUUAACUCUUCAAGAUUAAUUGCGGUCGAAAGAUCGGGAAGCUCUUUCAGAUCUUCAGAAAAAGACAAAUCCAUCCACUUGAGAUUUUUAAGUUGCUGCAUUGACACAAUAAGAAAAUGAUGACAGGAUUGGUUUAUAAAGCUGGAGUUUGUUAAACAUUAUAUAUUUUUACUGAUACAAAUUAAUGAGAUUAUAAAAAUAUAAAAAAUGGUUUUGAAAAUUGAAUUUUUUAAAUCAAAAUUACUUACUUUAGUUCCUUUCCAUAGCUUCUUAAGCUUGCUAUCCCUCAUACAUAGUUCGACGAGAGACUCCGAAUUAAAACUAGAUCGCAAACAUUUACUUUCGAAACCACUCCAAUCCAGUAAUCUAAUCUUUUGAGAAUGAUACAAAAGUGAGUGCAGUCUCUCAAACUGAGAAAGACACUCACCCUUGAUUCUUAUGAUUUCGAGAUCUGACAAUCUUUUAAGUGCUUUCUUACUUAUCUUCAUUUUCUUCUCAGUCAUAGAUAAAUUCAUGCCUAUAAACCGUCUAUCAUCCUGAAAAAAGAGCCAAAACAAGAACAAAAGAUUAGUAGAUAUAUAACAUAGUUAGUUAUCAAAUAAACUCAAUUGUAAGGCAAAAAACUUACAGUUGUAUCAUUACUAAGCACUUCAGAGAUAUCUCUUUUAUCAGUCAAAAGCUGAUAUUUCGAAAACUGAUCGUGGACGAAUUGCUUACGAGAAGUUUCUCUUCCGAAUUGUGCUAGCACAUCAUGCAUAUGUAUAUAUCCCGUUGUAUAGUCAAAAGAUAUGAAAGAUUUCUCAGCUAAGACAAGAAUACCAGCUUUCGUGACAUACAAGAACUUCUUUGAAAGAAUCUCUUCCACUUUAUGUUGAUCUUCAUUGUUGAAAAAGCAGGCUAUAUAAAGAAAUAAAUAUUUAUAUUCAUCAUCUAAGGCCUCAUAACUGAACUUUAGAAUGCUCUCUAUUUCUCCAUUAAGGCUGGUCUUUAACAUUGGUAGUGUCAUUUCCCACUCUGCCUUGGGCUUUCCUUUCAAAGUGGAGCCUAGAAUCUUCAGUCCCAAAGGGAGUUUACCAGCAAGGUUUGCAACUUCCCUAGCAAGUUCAUCGAAGCCAUCAUCAGGGCGCUUGUGUCCAAAGGCAUGCAUACAAAAGAUUUGAAAAGCCUCCUCACUUAAUGGAAAUUCCACGUCGUAAAUAUGACUUAUCCCAUGGGCGUUCAAAACUCCUCGAUCUUCUGUUGUGAUUAUAAUCCGACUUCCAGAACCAAACCACUGAUUUUUUUCCGCCAAGACUUGUAGCUGACUUAAGCAAUCCACAUCAUCAAGAACGAGUAACACUUUCUUGUCUUUCAACCGUUCUUGUGCCACUCCUAGAUGAGGAAUCAUAUUAUCUUUAAGAUUUAUAGUCNNNNNNNNNNNNNNNNNNNNNNNNNNNNNNNNNNNNNNNNNNNNNNNNNNNNNNNNNNNNNNNNNNNNNNNNNNNNNNNNNNNNNNNNNNNNNNNNNNNNGAUAACAAAUCGCUUUGUAGUUGCAAUUGUGCGCUAAAGUCAUUCAAACGAACACUUGGAUAGCUUCUUUUGAUAUCAAACAUGAUCGCACUAAAUUGGAAUUUGUUGGCUACUUGGUCAAACAUAAUUCUAGCGAUGGUUGUUUUACCAAUCCCAGGCGGCCCCCAAAUCCCGAUCAUCCUUACUUCAUCCAAAUCUAGACGUAACAAUUGUUCCAUCCUUUCCAUAUGAGCUCCUAUCCCUACUAAAUUGUCAAUAUCUCUUGAUGGUGUGGAGAAAUUUAACAUGUUUGAAACAUCAAUGGCUAUGUUUUCGAUCAUGUCCGCUUCAUAACUCCUAACAUAAGAGGAUAUUAACAUAGAUUUAUCAAAUAGUCUAGUCAUGAAAAAUUCUCAUACAUACAGAUCCUAAAGAUAUGUAUUUUAUGUGUCUUGAUGAUUUUCUUAAAAGCUACAAAUAAACAUAGUUUGAAAUCAUACUCUAAAUAAAUAUUAACUAGGAUUUACUUUGCGGUACACCACAUGUCCAUCAUUUAAUAUAUUUGUUUGACUGAUCAUUUUCGUAGUUGGUUUAUAUAGUCUAGUUUUAUACAUGUUUAUAUCUUUUUAAUUUUAUGAAUUUGUAUAAUAAGUAGACUCAUAGAUAUAUGUGGUCAAUCCGCGAUAUACUUCCCACAUAAAAAAACCCGCAGUACACCGCGAGACGAUUUGUUGUAAAUAAAAAUUUAUAUUUUAACUUAACCCGUAAAAACAAUUUAAUAUAGACAACCCGUAAGAAAAAUAUAAUCAUAUUUAUAUAAACUCAAACCCGUUCAAUCAUAUUUAUUUACUAUAUUAUAUAUUUUAAAAUACUUUUAGAGUUAAAAUAUUAAUAGUAUUUUUAAUUUUUUUAGAGGUUAAAUUUUUUUAAUAUUUUAAAUAUUCUAUAAAACUUAAAAUAAAUAUUAUAAUUUUCAGCUUUUAAAAGUUUUAAUAUUUAUAAUAUUUUAAACUUUUUAAAAAAUUAAAUUUUAUAAUAUUUUGAAACUUUUUAAAGAUUUAUUUUUCUUAAAUAAAGAACCGGAUUAAACUGAAUAAAUUUUUAAUUUGGAUACCUGAGAAAUCAAAGUUCAUGUUCAUUUGUAGUUGUGAACAUAUUAGUACUAUUUAUAAUGGUUUUGAACUAUUAUCUAAAAUUUUUUACCGUAUGUAAACGUUCUACAUAUAUUUUUUCCUUUAUUGUUUGAGUUAUAUACGUCCGUUUUCGAAAAAUUAAAUAGCAAAAUGUGUGAAAAACAAAUUUAUUUUUAUUAUAUAUAAAUUUUAUGUAAUAAUAUAAAUUAAAAACAAAUAAGAUUAUAUAAAUAUAUUGGAGAGAGAUUCGAUUUAUUGGAGAGAGAAUCGAUUUAUUGGAGAGAGACAUUUUUGGAAAUAUUUUUGAUGUAAUAAAUAUUUUUUUCCAAUUUUACAAUUUGUUUGUGAUUUAAUUACAAAAUUUACUUGUAAGUUUUGUUAUUUAUUCAAUUGGCAAGGAUUUGAUUAUGUAAAUAUUAUAAAAUAAAAGGUUAUAAACUUUAAUAGAUUUNNNNNNNNNNNNNNNNNNNNNNNNNNNNNNNNNNNNNNNNNNNNNNNNNNNNNNNNNNNNNNNNNNNNNNNNNNNNNNNNNNNNNNNNNNNNNNNNNNNNUUAAUAGUAACACCAUCUAUUUAUAAAAACUGCAAAUUAACCCAUUUAUUUUAACUUUUAUAAAAUUUUAAUAAAAUAGUUACUUUUAUUUAAAUUAAACAUUUACUAUAAAAAUAUUAUUUUAUUUAAAAGUACAUCGUAUUAUAUAAAAAACAAUAAGAUACUAGAUUCUAUUAUAUUAUUAUAUAUAAUAAGGUAAAAUAAAAUCUCUUUUUUCCUUCAAUAAAAAUAAAAUCUAUUAUUAUAUAUAUUUAUAAGAUUUUAUAUAAUUUACUUUUGCAAAUGGUAGUCUCAAAUUUUAGAAUAUAUAUUUAUAUUAAAACCUCUAAAUUGUUUUAUAUUAUUAGUUAUUAAAUAUAUUUAUUUUGUUUAUUUGUUCAUAAAUAAAAGAAGUUUAAGAUUAAAAGGACUAAUUUGUAAUAAAAUAGAGGUGGAUAUAGAGGUGGGCUGGAGCAAAAAUUGCUAUAAAAUAGAGUUUAGAGGCAAAAAUAGAGGUGGUGUUGGAGAUGCUCUAAUAGAAGAACUCUAUAAUAAAUGUGACUUUUGCACCAAUGUAUUUCUCUAUUUUUUCCUCUAUAAUAGAAUAUUCCAAAUAGAUUUUUCUAAAAUUUUAAUAUUAACACCAUCUGUUUAUAAAAGUUGCAAAUUAACCCACUGACUUUAACUUUUAUAAAAUUUUAAUAAAAUAAUUACUUUUAUUUAAAUUAAACAGUUAUUAUAAAAACAUCAUAUUAUACAAUAUUUGGACAAUACUUUAACGACAUUGGUGGAUCCGGAAGUAAUUUAAGAGAGUAAUAAGUAAUUUUUUUUUGUAUUAAAAGUAUUAUUAUGGAAUAAAUAAAAAAUAAAAUCUUUUUUUUUCCUUCCAUAAAAAUAAAAUGUAUUAUUUAUAUAAAUUAACUUUUGGAAAUGGUAGUCUCGAAUUUUAGAAUUUAUAUUUAUAUUAAAACCUUUAAAAUAUUUUAUAUUAUUAUUAGUUAUUAAAUAUAUUUAUUUUAUUUAUUUUGUUCAUAAAUAAAAGAAUUUAAGAUUAAAAUGACUAUUUUGCAAAUAAAAUAGUUCACCUCUAUUUAUGGAGGGAAAAAUAGAGUUCCCCUAUAUAUAGAGAUAAAAAUAGCAAUCUCUAUAAUAGAGGUGGAUAUAGAGGUGGGUUGGAGCAAAAAUUGCUAUAAAAUAGAGUUUAGAGGCAAAUAUAGAGUCAUAGAGGUGGGUUGGAGAUGCUCGGAGAAUAUAAAUCAAGAGGACAUACCCUUUGUGAGAAUGAUAUCCGGCAAUUGUGGCCACAUCCUCCAACGCUUUUCUCCAUGUCUCAGUACGCUCUUUUGUUUUACCUUUACAAGUUUUUCUAAAGGCUUUUCCAAAAUCACCAGUCUGUUUCUUUAUGUCAGUUGGAUCCACUUCAUAAAAAAUGGUCAUGACUAUGUGACCCGACUCUUUCCAGCAUUUCAUGAUCUCUGCCAACUCAUCAAGACACCAUGAAGAAGAAGCAUAGUUCUUGGAGAGCAAGACGAUCGCGAUCUUUGAUCCUCUUAUAGCUUCUAUGAGCGCAGGACCGAUAGACUUGCUCCUUUGUAUAUCAUUAUCAAUGAAUGGGUCGAUUCCCUUUAGCUUGAACACUACAAGGAAAUGACUAAGAAAGGUUCUUCGGACAUCUGGUCCGUGGAAGCUCGGAAAGACAUCGUGUUUCCAAGUUUGAGAAACAUAAGUUGAAGGAGAUGGAAGAGAUAAAGAAGAAGAAGAAGUACUUCCAUUGUUAUCUUGUUUGAAUCUGAAUUUUACAAAAAGCAUGAGGAAGCCUAUAGCGGCUGUCACUAAGACAAGGAAAAAGAAAGAAUCCAUUAGUAUGGAGGAAGAAUUUUAGAGAGAGGAAGAGGCUUUGAGUGACUGUCGAAGACUUUAUUGGCAAAGAAACUCCAUUGAUGUUUCUUGGAAAAUAAGGUGAGAUUUCGUGGAAAAUGUUUGCUAACGACAAAAUCACUGUCCCACAAUACUCCAACACCAUUCACUUAAUUUCUCCGAAACCAAAUAAUGAUAUGAUAAGAUAAGCAUCUCAAAUAACAACACCUCUCGUUCCACAAUGCUCCACCACGAAUUCACUUAAUUUCUCGGAAGCCAAAUAAUGAUGAUAAGGUAAACAUCUCAAACAACAACACUUGACGUCCAUACAUUCUUAUUUUUUUUCUCUCUCUUUUAAUAAUAUUGAAUGAUAGAUAGAACACAAAUCUUAUCUUAAGAAUAUGUACAGUUUAACAAGGUUUAGGAAAGAAAAAAUAAAUGACAGAGAUUGAAGCUUCACAUCAUUUCUCAUACUCUUACUUUACUAAGAUGUCUAUAAAUGUAAUAAUAGAAUAAAAGAACUCUAAGUUUUGUGUGCAAAGCUAUAAAUCUCAAUAAUAGAAACAACAAAAGUGAGACUCUGAACUUGCAGUAUCAUCAACUUUACACGGUAAUACUGUCCAGCAAAGACUCACAAGCAUCUUCAAGCAAGUCCAGUACCUGCAAAAGAAACAGCAGACCAAGUUACAGACAAAUAUUCAACUUUCCUUGUGAGUUUGUCCAAACAAAACAAUAUAAUUCUGGAACUUGAAGGCUACUUGGUGGUGACAAUGGCAUGCCAUUUUAAAGUCUUAUAAACUAAAAUCAACCAUUUGAUAGAUCUCUAGUGGUUGAAUUUCAUCUAUCUAAACCAAUAGUUGCUAGUACUACUCCACAAUAAGCUUCUCCAAUCUCUAAUGGUAAUUACCUUUUCAAAACCUUGAGCUCCACCAUAAUAUGGAUCAGGAACAAACUUGUCAUUGUGUUUCUUGCAAUACGAACACAUUAGCUUAACCUGAAAUUUCAAUGGAAAAAUGUUCAGAAAAUCUCCUAGAAAGAGUUCCAUAGUCAAGCAAACAACAACAAACACAAACGGUGGUACCUUCUUAUCUGCAUCGGGCGGGAAAUUCCCUCUGGCUUUCCAUACAUUAUAAGCCUUCAAUAUAUCCUCUGUAAACAUCAAACAUUCAAACUCAUAUUUAUUUGCAAAUUCCUAGUCCUAAGCAAUACAUUAUAAGCCUUCAAUAUAUACUCCUUCUUCAACCUUUGUUCUGUUCAUCCAUAGCAAGAAUGAGAUCAAAUUCCUUGAAGUCAGAUGCCUUAAUCGGUCUGGAUAAUGAUGUUAUCUCAAUCCCGCGACGUUUCGCAGCACUUCUCAUUCUAGGAUCCGCCAUAUUCCCCUUUUAAAAGAACAGUUUCACAAAUCAAAAAUUGAAUCAGAAACAUAAAAUUCAAAGUCUCCACUGCUCCCUUACUCCCACCAAAUUACAUAAAUCCAAAACCAAACCUUUCUACGUCUAAAAAAGCAUCAUUCACUAAUUGCCCAAAUCGAGCAUCAAUCUUUCUAUACAAUCCUAAAGUUAGAUAAUUGUUUUUGUUCAUCCCUUUGUAAAGAGAACAGUUUCACAAAUCACAAACAUAAACUUCAAAAUCCUCCAUUGCUCCUUACUCCCACCAAAUUACAUCCACCAAAAUCAAAACCCUAAAUCCAAAAUCUAACCUUUCUACAUCUGAAAAGAAUCAUUCACUAAUCGUUCUAAUCAAGCUCAAGCAUCAGUCUUCUUCUUACACAACCCUAAAGCUAUUAUCUUUGAAUUCGAAAAUGGAACAGAAAUGGUAAGUGUACCUCGUGAUAAUCAAUGGUACCAGCGGAAUCAAUGUUGAAUUUGGAAUCGAGACCUCUCUUCUUCACAAUAUCUCUAAAGACACCUUCAGCUGCAGGACUCCGACAGAUGUUCCCGAGACAGACGAAAAGAACAGAGUAAGGUUUGGUCUCGCUGCUCUGCGUCGGAGUUGUCGUCUCCAUUGAAGAUGAUGCAAAGCACUUAAGGGAAUGAGAAAUUCUGGGUUUUUCUCUGAAAAUCGAAACGAGGUUAGGGUUUUUGUGGGACGAUCGGAAUGUGG
Molecule: long non-coding RNA, 38110 nt
Filed under: Capsella rubella
Lineage: Eukaryota; Viridiplantae; Streptophyta; Magnoliopsida; Brassicales; Brassicaceae
Description: long non-coding RNA (CRUB_LNC000614)
Source: RNAcentral